RNAcentral lists this ribosomal RNA (497 nucleotides) under uncultured bacterium. RNAcentral describes it as "partial 16S ribosomal RNA". It matches the Rfam family "Bacterial small subunit ribosomal RNA", at positions 28 to 507 of the family's 1533-position model. The record is from RNAcentral.
GAUGAACGCUGGCGGCGUGCCUAAUACAUGCGAGUCGAGCGAACAGACGAGGAGCUUGCUCCUCUGACGUUAGCGGCGGACGGGUGAGUAACACGUGGAUAACCUACCUAUAAGACUGGGAUAACUUCGGGAAACCGGAGCUAAUACCGGAUAAUAUAUUGAACCGCAUGGUUCAAUAGUGAAAGACGGUUUUGCUGUCACUUAUAGAUGGAUCCGCGCCGCAUUAGCUAGUUGGUAAGGUAACGGCUUACCAAGGCAACGAUGCGUAGCCGACCUGAGAGGGUGAUCGGCCACACUGGAACUGAGACACGGUCCAGACUCCUACGGGAGGCAGCAGUAGGGAAUCUUCCGCAAUGGGCGAAAGCCUGACGGAGCAACGCCGCGUGAGUGAUGAAGGUCUUCGGAUCGUAAAACUCUGUUAUUAGGGAAGAACAAAUGUGUGAGUAACUAUGCACGUCUUGACGGUACCUAAUCAGAAAGCCACGGCUAACUACGUG